RNAcentral lists this ribosomal RNA (253 nucleotides) under uncultured bacterium. Its description in RNAcentral is "partial 16S ribosomal RNA". It matches the Rfam family "Bacterial small subunit ribosomal RNA", at positions 524 to 776 of the family's 1533-position model. The record is from RNAcentral.
UACGAAGGGGGCUAGCGUUGCUCGGAAUGACUGGGCGUAAAGGGCGCGUAGGCGGAUGGCACAGUCAGAUGUGAAAUUCCCGGGCUUAACCUGGGGGCUGCAUUUGAUACGUGUGAUCUAGAGUGAGGAAGAGGGUCGUGGAAUUCCCAGUGUAGAGGUGAAAUUCGUAGAUAUUGGGAAGAACACCGGUGGCGAAGGCGGCGACCUGGUCCUUGUCUGACGCUGAGGCGCGAAAGCGUGGUGAGCAAACAGG